GCCUUCGUGGUGUACUUGGAAGCACGCUCGACUUUUAUUCGGGAGGUCCGCAGUUCGAAUCCCCGCGAGGGCA
This is a non-coding RNA of Stegodyphus dumicola, 73 nucleotides long. The record is from the annotation of a RefSeq genome assembly. NCBI's taxonomy places the organism in Eukaryota, Metazoa, Arthropoda, Arachnida, Araneae, Eresidae.